AUGAAAAAACGUCUUAUGGAGAAAUUUAGAUACAGGUCUCAGAGAAGCUUCAAGACCAGGGAGUGGCUUCAGACUGUUGAGAGAAACGAGAAAAUGGACACCACUUUAAAAGUAACCAGAAUGAUUCCAUUGGAAUUUGAAAUAUUUCUUUGCUCAAGCCACAGCCAAGGUAUUCUACAUUCAGCAGCAGACUGUCUCCUGAAGCAAUCCUAUGCCUGUAAACCUAUGGUUCUUAUUCCUGAACAUUGUCAGAACACACUUCCUUUACUUUGUCUCUCAUACCCAAACAAUUAAGACAGUUCACAGAACUUUUGUCCCAGACAUAUUAAAGAUACUCAAGUGUUAGCAUGGGUUUUCUUCUAUAAUAUUUGUGUGUUGCUCUUUUUAAAUAAAAGGAACCCUAAAAUUGUUUUUUUUAAACAUUAAAUACCUCAUAGUGCUUGCUAACAUGGAUUGCAAUUCACUCACAUGCACAUACGGGCAGGCUUCAUGCUUUCGGUAUAUGCCGUGUGUAGAUUUUGGUAAAAUUCAAAAACAUUAAACCUUCCUAUUAGCCAUGAAACCCUUUACAAUAAUAUGUAAGUUCAUAUACACACACACUCACACACACACACACUGUGUGUGUGUGGCUGAAUAUGCCUCAGGACUCAUAGUCCUGGCCAUAUUUUGUCAUUUGGUUGUGUUUUUAUCAUUAAUGCUUGUAAUGCUCGAUGCAGUUUUCCCGUUUCCCUCAUCUCUUGUUCCAUACAGAGCUUUUGCUCCAAGAGAACACCUCCUUUCUUGAUCCCUUCUUUCCAUUUUUCUUGUUUGCAAAUGAUACCAUUGAUGGUGAAUGCCUUAUGUUGCAAGUGAGGCUAAAAUAAUUGGGUAGGC
This 873-nucleotide long non-coding RNA is filed under the name Ornithorhynchus anatinus (platypus). Its description in RNAcentral is "lncRNA (ENSOANG00000048705.1)". Lineage: Eukaryota; Metazoa; Chordata; Mammalia; Monotremata; Ornithorhynchidae. The record is from RNAcentral.